CGGGUAGGAAGUGUUGUAGGAACAACAGUCGGUUCCUUCCAGUGGGUUCGGGGUCUCGCUGACUUCCAGAAUGAAGCCUCGGACCCUCGCAGUGAGUGUUACAGCUCUUAAAGAUGGCACGAACUCAAAGAAUAAACUCAAGAUUUACUGUGAAGACUGAAAAGCCAAAAAAUAAAUUUUCCACAGCGUUGAAGGGGACCCAAGCAGAUUGCCGCUGCUGGCUGGGAGAGGCUAUGUUGGGUGGUGGGGAUGGGGUUGGCCAGCUUUUAUUCCGUUAUUUGCCCCCGCCCAUGUUCCAUUUCUGUCCUAUCAGAAUGCCCUUUUUUCAAUCCUCC
RNAcentral lists this long non-coding RNA (335 nucleotides) under Pan troglodytes (chimpanzee). RNAcentral describes it as "long non-coding RNA NONPTRT007080". The record is from RNAcentral. Lineage: Eukaryota; Metazoa; Chordata; Mammalia; Primates; Hominidae.